UUUCUUGGAAUCAAAAGAUUCCAUUGAGCCUGAUUAAUGAUUUUUUUUAAUUUCAAGUCCCAAAGAGUGUUGUAGUUUGUAUUCAACGUUGAUGGUAGAUAUGUAGGUGGAAAUUCUCUGUCAAAAUAGGUACGGACUGCUCUAGGUGUCACUCCUUUCAAUAACAAAGCUAGGCGGACAUAAUUUUCUUCUUCAUCAGAAAGAGGUGCCAUGGCUUCAGAAAAGGUUUGCUAAUGGCCAAGAAAAACCUAUAUCACCAUGACCGUUAUUACUGAAUGUAUACCU
This 285-nucleotide long non-coding RNA is filed under the name Mytilus galloprovincialis (Mediterranean mussel). The record is from RNAcentral. Lineage: Eukaryota; Metazoa; Mollusca; Bivalvia; Mytilida; Mytilidae.